GGGAGUAGCUCAGUGGUAGAGCGUCAGCCUUCCAAGCUGAGGGUCGCGGGUUCGACCCCCGUCUCC
Molecule: transfer RNA, 66 nt
Filed under: marine eukaryotic metagenome
Rfam family: tRNA
About the family: Transfer RNA (tRNA) molecules are approximately 80 nucleotides in length. Their secondary structure includes four short double-helical elements and three loops (D, anti-codon, and T loops).
Source: RNAcentral